CCGACGUAGCUCAGUUGGUAGAGCUCAAGGUCGCAGGUUCGAGUCCUGCCGUCGGCA
RNAcentral lists this transfer RNA (57 nucleotides) under Curtobacterium flaccumfaciens. Its description in RNAcentral is "tRNA-OTHER". It matches the Rfam family "tRNA". From Rfam's summary of the family: Transfer RNA (tRNA) molecules are approximately 80 nucleotides in length. The record is from RNAcentral. Lineage: Bacteria; Bacillati; Actinomycetota; Actinomycetes; Micrococcales; Microbacteriaceae.